Molecule: non-coding RNA, 2296 nt
Organism: Oryza sativa Japonica Group (Japanese rice)
Lineage: Eukaryota; Viridiplantae; Streptophyta; Magnoliopsida; Poales; Poaceae
Source: RefSeq, a predicted model, not a curated record
UUUGCGUCUUCCGCCUAUCCGACGGUGACGGAUGAGGUGAAAAGAGCCAAAUGCACAUAGGGAAGUGGGUCUCACAUGUCAUCUCCAUCCAUCAUCUUCUUUGCUCUCCCACCAUCUCUUUCUUUACCCAGAAAAGGAUGCUCCAUACAGCUCAUUAGCUAAAAGGAUUUUCAGUAGUAAAGUUGCAUGGAAUGGAGAACCAUUUUCCUUUAUCACUAAGGAAAGGAUUGACACAUGAUACCAGUAGUGAAAAAUAACUAGUUCACCCGGAAUAUUUGACGUUUAGGAUAAGAUUUGAUCAAAAUCUUUUAUAACUUUUAUUAUUUGACAAGAGAUUGGUAGUUUGUGUCAAGAGCAGAAUGAAACUAAGUAAGAAGAAUAGAAGUUUGUGGAACCGGUUAAUACUUUUUCCAUUUAUUGGAUGAUUUUAAUCCUCUAUCCAGUGCAGUGCCACCUGGGUCCAAUCGUUCAUGGAACAUGUAACAAAGCACACAACACGCAACAAACUAAUCAAGCACGCUGUUCAUCUCUUCCUCUCUUCAUUGUUCUCACUAGAGGCUUGUACAUAUUGCUGCUUCUCUCGCCCUUCUCUAUGAUCACGUGAUAUGCAGUAAAAGUCCCAAAACUCCCCAUUCUCUUUGUGUUUCAGAAGACUCAGGGCAGAUCAACAUAGAACUGCUCUAGUCGCCAAUACUGUUGGCCCAAAACCGAGAGACGUUAGCCCAACCUGGUGAAAACCUUGCUACACUCUAAAAGGUAGCUUAAGAGGUGAGGGACUCCCCUCACUUACUUUUAAGUUGAUUCAACUCCCCAUAGAUAAGCAAUGUGGGACUAUUCCCAACAAAUACCUCCACGGUGUCUGCAUUGUGAUGUUAAGCUAGGCACACUGUGUAGGUAAAACACAGGUCUUGCAUAAAGCUCAAUUUCUCGUACAGUAAAAAACUUCUCAAGGGAAUGGCCCCUGGCCCAGAUUUCCAUAUAAAGGAUACGGCGAGGAAAAAAACCUUCUUUAACCUGAAUUCUAAUUGAUUGGAUAUCCUGCAUAAGGAAUCGAAGGAAGACCCAACGAAAAAUGCACACUACUCCCACUUUUCUAUCAAAUCGGUCAUAAGCACUACCUAUAUUCCACAAAAUAGUGCCCCACAAGUAGGAUCUAAUAAAUAGGCAUGUGAUUCCGUAGAAAGACAUCACGACCCCCUAUGAAAAGAAAAGCCAGCUCCGGUUGGUGUCCUGAUGCCUUGCAUUCCAAUUGGCUACCAUCAGUUAUCUAGGCAACUCGUUACAGGCUGCUAAGACUGGCUGCCCCCUGCUUAUUUAACCGUAGUUGCUAUAUGCAACAAAAAAUAAAUAUGUGUGCAUUGUUGACUACAACAACUUCGCAUUGAUUCGUGUUGGUGUAUGUGUGCCUUUGUAAUGCUGCCCUGAAGAUGUUUGCCUGGACAAUUUAGAAGGGACGGGUAGGGAGCUCCUACAAUUUCACUAUAGAAGAAGGGAGAUCUGAGGAUGAUGGGUCCCAUGGCUACACCCCUAGUCCGACUCCUGCGAAAUCUGGGGCAGGUUCUCACAUUUCUCCAUGGGGAGAACACCCUCCUUGCGAUUUCCAGUACUGCGGCGAAAUCGGGGAUGACCGCCAGGAGGAAGAAAAAGAAAGGGAAGGUUGUACAAGUCGCCCGCGGCUUUUCAGACUAUAUAGUGCAACUUGUCUCCCUAGCUCUCUUCUUUUCUCAGAACUAGUCUGCUGGUCGACUAGAAAACACGUGUUAUAUAUAAGUCCGGAUAUUCUUCCGGUUAGUUCUGACUCCUCUAAUAGGUGUGUUGCAUGCUACUUAAUUACAUAAUACUGUGCCAUGGUAAAUUAAACCGGCAAUACUAGUACACAAAAUAACUAGGAGAUUUUCAGGGAUUGGAUGAAUCGAGGGCUUUUACUUGCAUGUGAACUCUGCUGGACAAGAGUUAAUUUAAUUGUUUUGGGAUGAUGUAUUAGUCGAUCCUGUCAGAUUAAAUGGGGGAAUAAUGAAGGUGCACAGUGAUUCGAUGGCUAGCUUUUCUGAGAAUUAUGGUGCAACUGAGCCGUUAAUCCUGUCAAUAAGUUUCGCAUUGGUGAGCUGCAUGCAUCAGCCAGUUCAGGGGAAAGUUUAAACCAAUGGAGAAUAACAUAGUUCAUUUAUACUCUAAUAGAUGCAAGCAGGCAAUGUAUGCGUAAGCUUUUUUAAGAUGUUAACUUUUGUAAAAAAUAUAACGGAACCUUUAUUGAUCAUUGUUGGAGAUAGAUCGUAGCCAGUAGCCCACCCUUUGG